CUGGCGGCGGUAUUAGUCAUUUUGAGGUAAACUUUGGUUUGCUUCGCUGAAAUCGUCCACAAGUGUUUCACUUUCUUUAGGGCGCCCCGUUGGGAGAGUCACCUAGCACACGCACGCACCACAUCAAAGAGUUGGCCAAAUUUCAGUGACAAAUCUUCACGUUUACUCAACACUUCGUCACUCUUCUUCGAGCCGAGACGUAUCGUGGGGGUUGAAACUUUUUCAGUAGAAUCGAUUUUGGUUUUCUUUUUUGUUAGCCCAAUUCUAUCUUGGCCUUAGCAACACUAGCUCUCUCUUACCACCUUUCGAUCGCCAGCCAUCUUUUUUCAAAAGUAACUUGGAACCAUUCGUUUCAUCGCAUAUCUUCUCAUCUCGCCCUUUAAAUCGUGAUUAAUUGCUGCUGAAAAACAAAUCGAAAGAAAUCUUUUAAAAUCUACCUGCUCUAAUCAAAAAGUUUUUAUGUCGACAGUGUGAAAUCUCAAAAGUGAAACAAGGAUAGAGACGAUGGAACACGUAAUGGAUUUAGCUUCGGAAAUUUCGGAAAGUUCUUCGUUGGUGUCGGAGGAUAUGCGAACUCUAGACGGUAGCGUCGACGGUGAACCCCGCGCCGAUGGACUGUACGAAGAACGCUUUCGUGUUGAUCGACGCAAAUUGGAAUCAAUGCUUUUAGUACCUGCUGAGGGUGGAAGUGAAGCAGCUGCUGAACGUUUUUCCUCAGGGUUAUGCAAGAAACAAGCACUGUAAUUAUGUGGCCAGAGGAAAUUGAAAGUUGGUUCCAAAUCAAAACGAGAUCCGCAUGUGCGUGUGGCUGGAGAGCCUGAAUCAGUUCGCGCUGCUAAAGAACGCAUUAUGGCCGUGCUUGAUACAAGGCAAAGCAAUGGAGUGACUCUAAAAAUGGAAGUGAGCUAUACUGACCAUUCUCAUAUUAUUGGACGUGGAGGUAACACCCUUAGCCGCGUCAUGGAGGAGACACGUUGUCAUGUCCAUUUCCUGAUUCGAAUCGCACCAAUCAAACGGAAAAGAGCAACUUGGUUACUGUCGCUGGAGAACUGGCUGGCGUUGAGAAAGCUAGGGCUCGCGUCCGGGAUUUGAUGCCGUUGGUGGUGAUGUUCGAAUUUACCCAUCACAGGUUGCUUUCAGGCUUUUCCUGAUGUGGAAUCGCCAUUUAUCCAAAACUUACAGUCGCGUUACUGUGUACAAGUUUCCUUUCGUGCC
RNAcentral lists this long non-coding RNA (1215 nucleotides) under Daphnia magna. RNAcentral describes it as "uncharacterized LOC123475838, transcript variant X1". Lineage: Eukaryota; Metazoa; Arthropoda; Branchiopoda; Diplostraca; Daphniidae. The record is from RNAcentral.